Molecule: long non-coding RNA, 515 nt
Filed under: Phascolarctos cinereus (koala)
Lineage: Eukaryota; Metazoa; Chordata; Mammalia; Diprotodontia; Phascolarctidae
Description: lncRNA (ENSPCIG00000033423.1)
Source: RNAcentral
ACUCCCCUUUGGGGAGCACGAGUGGGAACCGUGGAGAGUAAAGAGAUUAGGAAGGCGGUGGCUGCUGGAGAGCAGCCGCUACUCUCUUCACGUCAUUCACGGGAACGAGCGACCCCCACCCCACCCCCUGAGCCCCUGACUAGGAGCCCCUGCAUGAUGAGGCUGAGCAGCUCCUGCGCUAAGUGUGAGCAGAGGCGGGUGGGGGCAGAGACUGAGCUCCAGGGCCUUGCUUUACGUGGAUGCCCGAGCUGCUGGUUCCUUUAGGGCUUUAAUGAUCAAGGCUAAAGCAGAAGGCACAACCUCAAUCUGGGCCUGUCUAUUUCUGAAUGGGUCAAACUUGGGAAGCAUGGGGGCGACGAAGUUGGAGGCUUGGCCUGGAUGCUGCUGGGCAGCUGCCAGUGUCGGAUAAACCCAGAUUUGGGUUGACCAAAAGAAGUUGUGCCUUCACCACCACGAGCUGGAAGCCAAAAGGGUAAUUAUCUUCUUGUUCUUCACUUGAAUUUCCCUCAGCUAAU